This is a microRNA precursor of Gadus morhua (Atlantic cod), 59 nucleotides long. Ensembl annotates it as gmo-mir-205-1. Its record names the gene gmo-mir-205-1. The record is from Ensembl. Lineage: Eukaryota; Metazoa; Chordata; Actinopteri; Gadiformes; Gadidae.
UCCUUCAUUCCACCGGAGUCUGUAUCCAUGGUAACCAGAUUUCAGUGGUGUGAAGAGUA